UUUUUUUUUUUUGUCUUUUUGCCAUUUCUUGGGCUGCUCCCGGCAUAUGGAGGUUCCCAGAAGAGACAAUUAAUUAAUUAAUUAAUUAAAUAAGAAAAGAUUUUUAAAGGCAUAUGAGAAAGUAUAUUUCACUUCUCAUUCAAUACAACACAGUCCAUUGAGAGGAACUGGUCACCUCAGGGAAUGAAGUUUUAUUUAGCACAAACAGGAGAGGUUUUCAAUUAGUAUGUCUAUUCUUUAAUAAUUUCAUCAUUCUUCCGAGAUUAUAAAAGCAGUACAUCCUAGGUAAAAAAAAUUGAGAAAAAAGAUCACCCACAAUAUUAUUACCUAGAGAUAAUAAGCUCUUAUUAGUAUUUGGCAUACAUACUUUCUUUUAAGAUUUCUAUAUACAGAGCUUUUGUCCAUAUUAAAGAAAAUUAGGGAGCUCCCAUUGUGGCUCAGUGGGUUAUGAACCCGACUAGCAUACAUGAGGAUGCAGGUUUGAUUCCUGGCCUUGCUCAGUGGGUUAAGGAUCUGGCAUUGCUGUGAGCUGUGCUGUAGGUCGAAUAUGAGGCUCAGAUCCUGCAUUGCUGUGGCUAGUGGCGUAGGCUGGCAGCUGCAGCUCUGAUUCAACACCCUAGCCUGGGAACUUCCAUAUGCCAAAGGUGUGUCCCUGAAAAGCAAAAAAAAAAAAAAAAAAAAAAAAAAAAANAAAAUCAUACAUUAAGCAUAUUCUCAUCCCAUUCUGUUUUUCUAAAUAUCAUUCCAUAUCAAUAAAUAUUGGCCUCUACCAUCCUGUUUAAAGAUUGCACAGUAUUUCACUAUAUGGAUAGGCCCUAAUGACUUAAUCAAUCCUUUAUUAAUAGGGGUUUAGGUUACUUUCCAUGUUUUGCUGUUGCAAAAAACAGGGCAAUGAGCAAUCUGGUACAUAUGACUGUUUCUUUAAGAUAAAUUCCUAGACGAUAGCUUGUCAUUUUAUAACUCUGGAUCCAUAUUGCCCCAAGUGUCACCCAUAAAAUACAUACCAAAUUUACCUUUUUCAAAAGAAGGAAACCCUUAAAUUUAAGAGUAAUAGCAUAUUUUACAUUUCUAAUAUUUAGAUUAAGCAACCAAAAACUUUAAAAAUUCAAUUUAUCUCUAAAAAUCUAAAAUAUCAAUUCAUGCCUCUGAUAUUGCAUUAGAAUUACAUUUGGAGGGGGGGAAUUCUAAAAUACCUAAUAAACCGGUUUUGUUUUCAGCAUUUAUUAAUUUGAAAACUUAAACUCUGAAAAGAAUAUACUUGCUAUAAAACAAGCAAAUUAGUAGGGAAAACUAAAAGGCAAGGAGAGAGGCAAAAAAUACACUAAUCAGUUAUAGCAGCCACCAGGUCACCAAAUCUGAAUCCUAUACAAGGGCUGAGAAAGAAGCAUCAAGAAAAAGAGAAAAGGUGACAACUAAAAGAAACAGCUUUCAGAGACUCAGUGAUGGCUGGAUUAAAUUACACACAGACAUAUACAUCUACAUGCUCUGUAUAGAACCAAUCCUGAAGCUAAUCUCUAGGGGUUAGAACACAAGAGGAACCUUUGUGUGCUUUAUUUAACCAAACAUCAUGUACAAGGGGAUGGGGGAGGCCAGAUACAGGGAAGAGUGUCUAGGUAGCAGCUUGAGGGCCUAGUAUCAACUACUUCCCCUCCUGGGCACCAGGAGGGUAACAGGAACUUGAGGCAUAAAGCAGCUCCAAAGGCACUUAUUCCCUUCAAAACCAACACAAAUGACAAGGCUCAAUCAUCAAGUUCUUUGGCAAACUGGGCAAGGUGAGACUAUUUUUACCAACAAAUAAUUUACUGGAGAGCACCAUGUUUGUGCCUAGGAGGGGAAGGCCACAUAUUAUAACUAAUCUACUGGAGUUUCAUCCUAAUGGGGAAGGCAGGGACAUUAGAUAAAGCAACCAUAACAAAAGCACUGAACAUUUAAGAUGGAAAAUGGCAGUGUGUAUAGGGGUAAGAGGAGGUACUGUUGCUUGCUAACACCACACACCUAUAGGACUUGGGGUCUAACAUUCUUCUAGGCAAGGGCUCAGUAAACUAUGGCCCUUGAAUGGGUCAAAUCCAAUUCUGACUUAUGCUAUGAGCCAUUACCUAUAUAUAACACUUUUAAAUGGUUGAAAAAUUCUUAAAACUGUUUCCCAGCAUACAAAAAUUUCAUGAAAUUCAAACAUCAGUGUCCACAAAGUUUUACUGAACACAGCCAUGCCCACUCCUGGUCAAUGGCUACCUUCUCCAUGCACUGAGUUGGGAGGCUCUAAAUGCUUCAUGCUUGUUAGUUUGGCCCUGACAUACCCAGAAUUUAGACAUAGCCUGCUAGCCUAACAGAGAAUGCAGCCCCAUUUUUAAGAACAGCAGGCAGGUCUAAUUGGUUCUAUGGAUGCUGGGGUACUAGCCAAAUAGUAACCAGAAAAAUGUGAAAGGUUUUUUGAGUUGAAAGUAGAAUGGUCUCAGAAGGUGUGUGUUGGGGUGAGUAGGAUUAAAGGUUUCUCUCUGAAAGAAUACAUGAGCUAUCUCCUUGGACAAGAGAAUGAAACCGUCCUCAAAAUGACUACUACCUUUAGGAGCUUAGCACUGAGCAAAGCCUUUUGCCUUUAUUAUCUCAUUUAAUCUCAAACCCAGGUUCAAGUCUAAGCCUGUGUUCCUAACCACUCCCUGACUUAAAAGCACAAGACAACAAUGUUCACCAGGACUAAAAGAGAGGAAAAGACCACAGGAACAGUGGAAGGUUAUUUUAUGGCCAUGAGCAUCAGAAGUGUUCUAUUCAUCUCUCUCCUCCCUCUCCCUCUUUCUCCUUAUAGUAACAUCAUUUCCUUUAAAGAAAGUAAAAUGCAACUUAUUUCUUCCAGGAACUUGCUUGUUGAGAAAAACUGAUGCAGGUACUCAAACAUGGAGACAUUUUAAAGAUGUCACCAUCAAAGUUAUAGAUCUAACUUCUACUAAAUGCAAUCAAUGUGUAAGGGUCUCCAAAAGAAGGGGGUGAGGAAACAUUUUUUGAGGCAAUGGUUUAGAAAGCACAUAUACAGUUUAAUUUAGAUUUUUCAUUUAAAGUACAAUGAGGAGUAACAGUUAAAUGAAUCUUACUCAAAGAAAGGGCUAUGAUGCUGGUAGGCAGCUGAAUCUUUCUUACUAGGAUCCAUGUUCUUUGCUUUGCCAACUAUACCACCAUUUUCCUUCAAGUUCUCCAAAAAGCCUACAAUUAUAAGAACCACUCAAUCCUAACUCAUUUUGUGAAAACCAGAUUUUUAAGAAGUUUCACUUGGUUGAUAUUUUCAUCAUACUUAUUUGCAGAUAACGUAUACCAUUAUUAUAUAACAUGUUUGUACAUAUUUACUUGGGUGUUUAUGAAUGGUUACCAACAUCUAGCUCCCAAGUUCUUCCUGUGCACCAAAUGAGGGGCUCAGAGUUUCAUACAGGGAACUUCCUGCAAGGCUCCCAACACUUCUACUAGGUAGGCUUUAUCUAGAUGAGGAACCUCAGGGUCAGGCAGGAUAAGUACAUACAGUGAAUGAGAACGAAAGAACCCAGAUUUGGACUUAAGCCUGUUUUGACUCAGAAACUGUGUUUUUCCCAUAGCAUUCUGCCAAGGCACCAACACAUUUCCUUAGACUAUCUCUCAGUCAAAUUUGCUGGAGAGCAGUAAGGGUGUGGAGUUGAAUAAACGAUUAGCUCUAAGAGUGGUUACUGGGCUAAAGCCUCUGCGUAUCGACAAUAAAUCCAUUUGAUCUAAUGUUUUUUGAUUUGUUUGGGUUUUUUCUGCUUUUUAGAGCUGCACCGAAGGCACAGAGAAGUACCCAUGCUAGACGUCCAACAGGGACUGCAGUUGCCAGCCUACACCACAGCCACUGCAAUGUGGAUCCGAGCUACAUCUGCAAUCUACACCACGGCUCACAGCAUUGCCAGAUUCUUACCCACUGGGUGAGGCCAGGGAUUGAACCUACGUCCUCAUGGAUACUAGUUGGGUUCAUUACUGCUGAGCAGAGAUGGGAACUC
This 3995-nucleotide long non-coding RNA is filed under the name Sus scrofa (pig). RNAcentral describes it as "lncRNA (ENSSSCG00035041218.1)". The record is from RNAcentral. Lineage: Eukaryota; Metazoa; Chordata; Mammalia; Artiodactyla; Suidae.